CUGCUGCCUUCCGUAGGAGUUUGGGCCGUGUCUCAGUCCCAAUGUGGCCGUCCGCCCUCUCAGGCCGGCUACUGAUCGUCGCCUUGGUGGGCCGUUACCCCGCCAACCAGCUAAUCAGACGCGGGUCCAUCCCGUACCACCGGAGUUUUCAAGAAAGAAACAUGCGUCCCCUUCUGUUAUGCGGUAUUAGCACCUGUCUCCAGGUGUUAUCCCCCGGUACGGGGCAGGUUCCCCACGCGUUACUCACCCGUCCGCCACUAAGGCCCGCGCCUUCCGGGUCU
Molecule: ribosomal RNA, 281 nt
Filed under: uncultured bacterium
Lineage: Bacteria
Description: partial 16S ribosomal RNA
Source: RNAcentral